Molecule: non-coding RNA, 26 nt
Filed under: Rattus norvegicus (Norway rat)
Lineage: Eukaryota; Metazoa; Chordata; Mammalia; Rodentia; Muridae
Source: RNAcentral
UAUCUGUCAUAGCAGAUUUUAGGGCA